This 467-nucleotide ribosomal RNA is filed under the name uncultured bacterium. RNAcentral describes it as "partial 16S ribosomal RNA". It matches the Rfam family "Bacterial small subunit ribosomal RNA", at positions 28 to 507 of the family's 1533-position model. The record is from RNAcentral.
GACGAACGCUGGCGGCGUGCUUAACACAUGCCAGUCGAACGGAAAGGCCUCUUUCGGGGGGUACUCGAGUGGCGAACGGGUGAGUAACACGUGAGUAACCUGCCCUUGUCUUUGGGAUAACUUCAGUCAACUGGGGCUAAUACCGGAUAGAAGCUCCUUCUGCAUGGUGGGGGUUGGAAAGUUUCGGCGGCUGGGGGUGGACUCGCGGCGUAUCAGCUUGUUGUUGGAUUAGUGGCUUACCAAGGCGUUGCCGGGUAGCCGGACUGUGAGGGUGAGAGGCCACAUUGAGACUGAGGUACGGCCCAGACAGCUACGGGAGGGAGCAGUGGGGAAGAUUGAACAAGGGGUGGAAGCCGGAUGCAGCAACGCCGUGUGCGGGAUGACGGCCUUAGGGUUGUAAACCGCAUUCGCUCAUGACGAAGCUUUGUGUGACGGUAGUGGGUAAAGAAGCACCGGCUAACUACGUG